UUUCAAUCACCACCAGUGAUCAGUGAGGGAAAAUCUAAGACAGAACAGUGAAGUAGGAUGUUACAGCAAGCCAAACACAAGAACAGUGGUUCUAAAACUCCAUCCUGCAGCAGGAUCAUCUGGAAUGCUUAAAGAAAGAAGGUUUCAGAACCAUUGCAUUAGGAUCCUAUAUCCACUGUCUACAUUUCGUCUUCACUUGAACUAAAAGGCAUGACCAAAUCAAACUCUAAAUCUUGUUUUCUGUGAUCCAUGGUUUCUCGAUGGAGGAGAUUCCCUUUGCCGGCAUUUGAAAUCUGUAUGGAAGUACACCAUCAGCAAAUCCCCUCGUCAUCUGUCUGCUCUUCUCUCCUGCCUUUGCCCCUAAGUGCCAUCCAGGUGGCUUUCUUUUUUAUUUCUUCUUCUUUUUUUAAUGUACGGAUCUACUGAUGGAGGUUGGGAGGGACACUCUUAUCAUUGUGAGAAAUUAUAAGCAGACUCCAUCUGCAUUCAGAAAUCACAAAGGGAAGUAAAACAGCUAUGCCUGCAUAAUCCAGAUGUUGAUGAAUACAGGGACCCAGAAUGCCCUUCCAUCCUUCAAAAACAUUCCAAAGCCCAACCUACAAUCAAAAUCAAGACCAUCCAACAGCAAGGAGUUGAACAAUAAAACUUAAUUACUAUAACACUUGCAAGGCCAAGAUUCAAUAGAUUAUGUGCUCUUAAUCAAAAUAUAGAAUAUAUCUCUAAAAUAAACUUCGCAGUUUCCCAAGAUCAGAAUUCUCUUAAAACGAAAAUAAAAGCUUUGGUUUGUACCAAAUAUGUUUGUUUUUCCUGCCUAAUAAUUCCUAGCUUAGAGGAUAAGUUAAUAUUUUUUAAGUAAAGGACUAAUAUAUAUCUACAGUAGUGCCUUUUUUUUCUUUCUUUCUUUUCUUUUCUUUUUUUUUUU
Molecule: long non-coding RNA, 922 nt
Filed under: Homo sapiens (human)
Lineage: Eukaryota; Metazoa; Chordata; Mammalia; Primates; Hominidae
Description: HSALNT0036796
Source: RNAcentral